RNA transcript from Nerophis ophidion (straightnose pipefish), 7654 nucleotides. It is a transcript of the gene named protein bicaudal D homolog 2-like, with no coding region annotated. NCBI's taxonomy places the organism in Eukaryota, Metazoa, Chordata, Actinopteri, Syngnathiformes, Syngnathidae. The transcript has 11 exons. The record is from RefSeq and is a predicted model, not a curated record.
CUUGCUCCACGCCCACACGGAGCAAUCCCCAACCGCACAAACCGGCGGAGGAGGAGAAGCGAUGAAGCAUUUCUAAGACGUUACAGCGUCUGUCCUCGCAGGAAUUUCAAGGCCGCCGCCUUUAUGACCAAAGACGCGAGGGCAGCCCCCCCAAAAAAUAAGCCAAACGUAACAACCAUGCAGUUCAAAUUCAGACGGAUUUGAGCUCCCAAGCUGACAUCGCCGCAUCCUUCCCGGUUCUCAUCAGCUUCGCCCCCGCCUCCUCCUCCUCAUCAUGUCCGUGCAAGAGCACUGCUACCCGGAGCCGUUCCUGGCGCUCCAGGCCGGUCCGGAGCGGAUGCGGGUGGAGAUCGAGCGGCUGUCCCGGGAGCUGAGCCAGACCACGGACGAGAAGAUCCGGGCUGCCGAGUACGGACUGGCGGUGCUGGAGGAGAAGCAGCAGCUGAAGCAGCAGUACGACGAGCUGGAGGUGGAGUAUGAGGCUGUCCGGCAGGAGCUGGAGCAGAUCAAGGAGGCCUUCGGACAAGCGUACUCCAACCACAGGAAAGUGGCAGCGGACGGCGAGAGCCGCGAGGAGACCCUCAUCCAGGAGUCGGCGUGCAAGGAGGCCUACUACGAGCAGAGGGUCCUGGAGCUGCAGAACGAGCUCCGCCAGACCCGCAGCGUUGUCGCCAACGCCCAGUUUGAGAACGAGCGCCUGACGGCCAUCGCGCAGGGAAUGAGAGAGGGCAACCAGAUGCUGGAGCUCCAAAGGAACCAGCUGCGUGACGACAUCAAGGAGUACAAGUUCCGGGAGGCUCGUCUGCUGCAGGACUACACGGAGCUGGAGGAGGAAAACAUCUCGCUGCAGAAGCAAGUCUCCGGGCUGAAACAGAGCCAGGUGGAGUUUGAGGGUUUGAAGCACGAAAUCCGCCGUCUGGAGGAGGACACGCAGUUCCUCAACAGCCAGCUGGAGGACGCCAUCCGCCUGAAGGAGAUCGCCGAGCGUCAGCUGGGCGAAGCCCUGGAGACCAUCAAGACCGAGCGGGAGCUGAAGGCGUCCCUGAGGAAGGAGCUGUCGCACUACAUGAACAUCGGCGAUUCGCUCUACAACAGCCCUCUCUGCAUCUCCCUGGACGGGCUGAAGUUCUACGACGACGCCGCCAGCGAGCCCAACAACGACGAGGCCCUGCACGGCUACGACAACGGCUUUAGCAAACUGCUCAGCGACGACAACCGCGCCUCCAAGGAGGAGGAGCUCUUCCGUCCGGCGCCGAGUCUGGUGGACGACCUGCUGAGCGAGCUUAACAUCUGUGAGAUCCAGAAGCUCAAGCAACAGCUGGUGCAGAUGGAACGCGAGAAGGUGACCCUGCUCUCCACCCUGCAAGACUCCCAGAAACAACUGGAGCAGGCCAACGGUGCUCUGUCCCACCACCAGGAGAAGGUGAACCGCCUGACCGAGAACCUCAACGCCAUCCGGAAGCUUCAGGCCAGCAAGGAGCGCCAGUCGGCCCUGGACAACGAGAAGGAACGCGACAGCAACGAGGACGGAGACUACUACGAGGUGGACAUCAACGGACCGGAGAUCCUGGAGUGCAAGUACAAGGUGGCCGUGUCAGAAGCCGGGGAACUGAAGGAGGAACUGAAGACUCUGAAGGCGGAAUACCAGACCUGUCAGUCGCGUUACCAAGAGGAGCGCACGCGGCUGGAGAGCCAUGUCAGCUCACUUGGAGAGAAGCUGAGCUCUCUGGAGAAGACCAGUGGUCUAGAGAAGGAGGAGAAGGUCAAGCUGGAGAAGGAGCUGCGCAAGCUUAGCGAUGUCGCCGGCGAGUCUCAGGGCAGUCUGAGUGUGGCUCAGGACGAGCUGGUCACCUUCAGCGAAGAACUAGCGACCCUCUACAACCACGUGUGCAUGUGCAACAACGAGACUCCCAACCGCGUCAUGCUGGAUUUCUACAAGGAGGGCAAAGGCGGGCACAGCAGCCCGGAAGGACGCGGACGGCGCUCUCCCAUCCUGCUCACCAAGGGCCUCUUCCCAGAGCCUCUGAGAAACGAUCUGAGCGACUGUUCCCUAUCACCCGGCUCAUCCCAGCCAUCUCCCGUGUCGGACCACCGCCGCGAGCCCAUGAACAUCUACAACCUGGUUGCCAUCAUCCGAGACCAGAUCAAGCACUUGCAGCUCGCCGUGGACCGCACCACGGAGUUGUCGCGCCAGAGGGUGGCCUCUCUGGAGCUGUGCACGGUGGCCGACAAGGACAAGGAGGCCUGCAUGGAGGAGAUCCUGAAGCUCAAGUCCCUGCUCAGCACCAAGAGGGAGCAGAUUGCCACUCUGAGGACUGUGCUGAAGGCCAACAAGCAGACCGCUGAAGUUGCUUUGGCAAACCUGAAGAGCAAGUACGAGAACGAGAAGGCCAUGGUGACGGAGACCGUGAUGAAGCUGAGGAACGAUUUGAAAACUCUGAAGGAAGACGCCGCAACCUUCUCUUCCCUGCGAGCCAUGUUUGCCACACGGUGUGACGAGUACGUGACGCAACUGGAGGAGAUGCAGAGGCAGCUGGCGGCGGCGGAGGACGAGAAGAAGACCCUCAACUCUCUGCUCAGGAUGGCCAUCCAGCAGAAGUUGGCCCUCACGCAGCGUCUGGAGGACCUGGAAUUCCACCACGAGCAGUCCCGCCGCACGGGCGCCGCCGCCCGCUCCAAGGCUCGCCACAGGGCGUCCGCCGUCGCCGCCAACGCCGGACAGCCCCUCGCCCGCGCCGCCGAGCGGCCCGACGCCGUGCCCGCCGGCAUCGUGGGAGGUCCCGGUGUCUUCUGCAGCGAGAAGUACAAAAUCUACUGCGACUGAAGGGAGGCGGGAUUUGAUGGCCACGCCCACUUUUCUUUGUGUUUUAAAAAAGCUCGCUUUGCUUCCUGGUCCGCCUUCAUGACUUUUGUUUGACUAACAUCCGCUUUUGUCACGCUUGCAGAGUACAGGUGUGUCCUGUACAGGUGUGUACGUCCUGUACAGGUGUAUUCUACGCAGGUGUGUCGUGUACAGGUGUGUUCUACACAGGUGUGUCCGUCCUGCACAGGUGUAUUCUACGCAGAUGUGUCCUGUACAUGUGUGUUCUACACAGGUGUGUCUUGGACAGGUGUGUCCUGUGCACAGGUGUGUCCUGGACAGGUGUGUCCUGUACAGGUGUUCCCUGCACAGGUAUACCUGUAAAAGUGUGUCCUACACGGGUGUGUCCUUUACAGGUGUGUCCUGUACAGGUGUGUCCUGUACAGGCGUGUAUGUCCUGUUCAGGUGUAUUCUACGCAGGUGUAUCCAGUACAGGUGUAUUCUACGCAGGUGUGUCCAGUACAGGUGUAUUUUACGCAGGUGUGUCCAUUACAGGUGUAUUUGACGCAGGUGUGUCCUGUACUGGUGUAUUCUAAGCAGGUGUGUCCUGUAAGGGUGUGUUCUACUACACAGGUGUGUCCUGCACAGGUGUGUUCCGCACACACUGGUGUGUCCUGUGCAGGUCUGUUCUAUGCAGGUGUGUCCUGCACAUGUGUGUUUUACACAAGCGUGUCCUGCACACGUAUACCUGUACGGGUGUGUUCUACACAGGUGUGUCCCGCACACGUAUACCUCCACAGGUGUGUACUAUACAGGUGUGUUCUACACAGGUGUGUCCUAUAUGCUUUCCAGGUGUGGGGGGCCGUAGACCGGCUCGGCAUGUGGACUCUCGUCGCUCUUUAUGGACAUUCUGGCUCGUAUUUGCGUGCGCGCGCGUACCAAGUGCCACUGGUCCAGAGUGUGUUGCCUAUAGCAGCAACACACGAUAUUUUGAUGACGUGAGCAAAAUCUACUUCACUUCAUCAAAUCUCCAAAAGGACGAAACCAUUGCAAAAUAAAUAUUUGUCGUUAUUAAAAAUGACAAGCGAGCAGUCGACUUUGAGAGGAAGAAAAAAGACGUUACAAAUCAUAAAUCUGCUUGGCAAAAAAGUGCCUAAUAACUCACACACGUAACCUGUUGUGUCCUACUUCUCCAUCAUCUUGGUCGCCAUGACGACCGCAUCGGCUGGCGGAAUGAUGGACGUUAAGGACGUUAACGUGUGUUUAACCCCCUGGUGUGUGUGCGCGCGCGUGUGUGUGUGUGUGUGUUGCCACAUAAGCUUUAAACUGUGUGUUUUGUUAUGAAGUGAUGUAAGUUUGUGUUUACCAUCAUCAACUUUUAUGUUCUCGAUGCAAAAAAAAAAAAAGAAGGGUUGACGUGAGGAUUCCUGCAAGUUUCGGCAAAUUUUGCAAUUUUUUUCUACGUACAAAAAGAUUCUAUAUUCUUAAGACGAACUUUAUUGAUCUUGCAGGAUCCUGCCAGCGUUUGGGGUAAAAAAAAAAAUACGUAAAGCACAUCAUCUUCAGCCCUGCUUGAGCGUAAAAACAUAAUUAUUCACUUGAAGUAUUUACUGUAUGUGCGUCCUUUUUAUUAUUAUUUUUUUUUUAUUCCAUCUCGAUUCUGUACACUGCUGCUGAAAUUUUAUUUUCCGGAGGGAAUUUUCCUGAAGGAAUCGAUAAAGUACUAUAUCUACUAAUAAGUUGUCGGCUGAUAGGCUCCUCCCACUUCCUUUACAGGAGGGUGGGGGGCAGGGGGGGCAUGUAAGAUAUGAAGGAAUUGUUAUGAAAUUAUAAGGCAUAGUGGUACACAAUGUUGGUUUUGAGGCGCUGCCUUGGUGACUUGGUGGUCGUGGGUUCGAGUCCCGGUGUUUUAGUAGAAAAAGAUUGAAAGUAGUUUCCGACACUACUUUUGGCCAUCAUGUGUUACUACACUUUUUUAUUGGUUUCAUGGCUUCUUCCUGUCAUUUGAUCCACCAAUGAGAAGCCAGAGGCGUGGCUUAUUAUUUUUUUUCCACAUGUAUUUUGUUUACCGCUGCACUUUGAUGACAUAGAGGACUAAUAUGGACUUUUAAUAUUUAUCUGAUGUUUGUUCCACAACAACAUUUAUUAUUCCUAGGAAUAGUUCAUUAAUGCCUGCAUGAAAACGAGUCGCCGAGAGAACUUUCUGCUUCUCGCCGACUUCUCGGCUAAAACCCAGAUCGCUGACCUUUCAGAAUUCUCCUCAGAAGCCAAAAACGAGAAAUUCCCAAAUCGGAACGGCGGCGUUCCUCAAGUGCCAAACGUCUGCCGCGGGUUCUGAUUCAUGUUGGAUCCACGUCCUCCAUGACGAUUGGAACGAUCGGAAGGAGACCCGUCCUUCGGACUUUGUGAGAAUUGUGCGGGUCAGAGGUCUGGCACACUGUCAGGGACUUGGAGAUGUUUGGAGCGCAAACAUCUGCAAGUGUCUUCAGUGUGGAGCUGCUGGAGGUCAUGUGACGUCCAGAGUGUUAUUGCAGAUCUUUUUUAUUAUUAUUAUUAUUACUUUUUGUAACCUGGUCUAUAUGACAUUUGUUUACAGGAAACAGAAAACAACAAUAGAAUCUUUGGGCAGCUAAUGAUUCCAUCCUAGUGCUGAGGUGACAAUUCCAUUCAGAACCGAUUCUUGAUUCAAACCGAUUCUCGAUUCAAUAUUAACCUUUACUCAAGCUGAUUCUCGAUUCAAACGUACUCAAGCUGAUUCUCGAUUCAAACGUAUUCUGGACUCAAACCCAUUCUCGGUUAAACUCGAUUGUCGAUCCAAACCGAGUCUCGAUUCCAACCAAUUAUUGAUUCAAACUGAGUCUCGAUUCAAACCAAGUCUUGAUUCAAACCGAUUUACAAUUCAGAAAGAUUCUCGAUCCAAACCAAUUCUUGAUGAAACACAAUUCUCGAUCCAAACCAAUACUCUGGAGUCAAACCAAUUCUCGAUUCAAACUGAUUCUCGAUACAACACGAUUCUCGGUUAAAAUGAUUCUUGAUGCAAACCGAUUUUCAAUUCAGACAGAUUCUUGAUUUAAACCAAUUAUUGUUUCAACAUUAUUCUCAAUCCAAACCAAUUCUUGAUUCAAAUAGAGUCUCGAUUCAAACCAAUUCUUGAUUCAACAUGAUUCUUGAUUCAAACCUAUUUUCAAUUCAGAAAGAUUCUUGAUCCAAACCAAUUCUUGAUUAAACACGAUUCUCGAUCCAAACCGAUUGUCUGGAUUGGAACCAAUUCUCGAUCCAAACCGAUUGUCUGGAUUGGAACCAAUUCUCGAUCCAAACCGAUUCUCUGGAGUCAAACCGAUUCUCGAUUCAACAUGAUUCUUGAAGCAAACCGAUUUUCAAUUCAGACGGAUUCUCGAUUCAAACCAAGUGUUGUUUCAAGAUGAUUCUCAAUCCAAACCAAUUCUUGAUUCAAAUAGAGUCUCGAUUCAAACCAAUUCUUGAUUCAACAUGAUUCUUGAUUCAAACCUAUUUUCAAUUCAGAAAGAUGCUUGAUCCAAACCAAUUCUUGUUUAAACACGAUUCUCAAUCCAAACCGAUUGUCUGGAUUCAAACCAAUUCUCGAUCCAAACAGAUUCUCUGGAUUCAAACCAAUUCUCGAUUCAACAUGAUUCUUGACUCCAACCGAUUUUCAAUUCCGAAAGAUUCUCAAUCAAAACCAAUUCUCCCGAGUCUCGAUUCAAACCACAUUCAACAUGAUUUUCAAUCCAAACCAAUUCUUGAUUCAAACCGAGUCUUGAGCUAAACCAAUUCGCCAUUAAAACCAAUUCUCGACGGAACCCGAUUCUCGAUGCGAACCGAUUCUCAAUUUAAACCAAUUCUGGAUUCAAACCCAUUCUUGAUGAAAGUCUUUUCUCAAUCCAAACCGAUUCUCGAUUAAACUCAAUUCUCGAUCCAAACCGAUUCUGGAUUCAGACCAAUUCUGGAUUUACCAUUAUUUUCGAUCCAUACCAAUUCUUAAUUCAACACGAUUCUCAAUCCAAACCGAGUCUCGAUUCAGACCAAUUCUGGAUUCAAACCAAUUCUCUAUUCAAAAUGAGUCUUGACUCAAAACUUAUUUUCAAUUCAGCAAGAAUCUCGAAUCAAACCAAUUCUCGAUUCAAACUGAUUUCCACUUCAACACCAUCUGAUUCAAAUUGAGUCUGGAUUCAAUGCGGUUCCUGAUUCAAGCUGAUAGUGGUUUGAACAUGAUUUUUGAGUCAAAAAAUGAAGUAUUUGGUGUAAUAUUUAUAACAAAACAUUUUUAAAACAGAUUACAGAUCAGAAAAGGAGUACGUCUUUCUAAAAAUCGAUUCUCACAAAUUAAAAAUAUAUAUAAAAAAAAAUGUUUUAACCGAUUUGGAAUCAGGAUGAAUAAGAAUCGCGCUUCGGAUGUGAGUCCAUUAUUUAUUAGCACCUUGAGUGAACUAGCAUCAACAAGCGAGGAACGUGCGACGCUGGUUGAUGCGUCGAAAGUUAGCGACAAAAAAAAAAAGUGACGCUAACGGCAAAAAAAAAAGUGCAAUUGUGAUUUUUGUCGUGGGAACAAAACAAAAGUUUUCUGUUUGCUGGAAGCGACAAGUUUGUGUUUUCGGACAUAAUGAGGACCCUAGUCCAACAUGCAUGUUUCUCACACAUGGGACUUUUACACAGCAGACAAAACAAACCAGGCAACUUUUCAGGGAGAAGGAAAAUUACAAUUGAAAUGAAAUAAAAUGGAAUAUUUUUUGCUACUGAGAUGAUUCCCCAGGAGAAGAAAAAAAGUGUUUGUUUUUUUUAGAGUGUGUAAAAGUAGUCAUGCUGACUAAAAUCAAUAAAGGUGACUUUUAAGUUGCA